This 75-nucleotide transfer RNA is filed under the name Podarcis lilfordi (Lilford's wall lizard). RNAcentral's name for it is "tRNA.Lys". The stretch from base 8 to 68 matches the Rfam family "tRNA", at positions 7 to 64 of the family's 71-position model. From Rfam's summary of the family: Transfer RNA (tRNA) molecules are approximately 80 nucleotides in length. Their secondary structure includes four short double-helical elements and three loops (D, anti-codon, and T loops). Further hydrogen bonds mediate the characteristic L-shaped molecular structure. tRNAs have two regions of fundamental functional importance: the anti-codon, which is responsible for specific mRNA codon recognition, and the 3' end, to which the tRNAs corresponding amino acid is attached (by aminoacyl-tRNA synthetases). tRNAs cope with the degeneracy of the genetic code in two manners: having more than one tRNA (with a specific anti-codon) for a particular amino acid; and 'wobble' base-pairing, i.e. permitting non-standard base-pairing at the 3rd anti-codon position. Lineage: Eukaryota; Metazoa; Chordata; Lepidosauria; Squamata; Lacertidae. The record is from RNAcentral.
AUCUCAGGUGGCUCAUUGGGUCAGUGUGUCUGGCUCUUAACCAGAAGAUUGGUGAUUCAAGCCCACCCAGGGAUG